RNAcentral lists this ribosomal RNA (447 nucleotides) under uncultured bacterium. RNAcentral describes it as "partial 16S ribosomal RNA". It matches the Rfam family "Bacterial small subunit ribosomal RNA", at positions 330 to 792 of the family's 1533-position model. The record is from RNAcentral.
CCCAGACUCCUACGGGAGGCAGCAGUGGGGAAUAUUGCACAAUGGGCGAAAGCCUGAUGCAGCAACGCCGCGUGAAGGAAGAAGGCCUUCGGGUCGUAAACUUCUGUCCUUGGGGAAGAAGAACUGACGGUACCCAAGGAGGAAGCACCGGCUAAAUACGUGCCAGCAGCCGCGGUAAUACGUAUGGUGCAAGCGUUAUCCGGAUUUACUGGGCGUAAAGGGAGCGCAGGCGGCGCGCCAAGUCUGAUGUGAAACCCCGGGGCUCAACCCCGGGCAUGCAUUGGAAACUGGCGGGCUGGAGUGCCGGAGAGGUAAGCGGAAUUCCUAGUGUAGCGGUGAAAUGCGUAGAUAUUAGGAGGAACACCAGUGGCGAAGGCGGCUUACUGGACGGCAACUGACGCUGAGGCUCGAAAGCGUGGGGAGCAAACAGGAUUAGAUACCCCGGUA